Molecule: long non-coding RNA, 208 nt
Filed under: Hordeum vulgare
Lineage: Eukaryota; Viridiplantae; Streptophyta; Magnoliopsida; Poales; Poaceae
Description: long non-coding RNA (HVUL_LNC011718)
Source: RNAcentral
UUGAUGCUUCACCUAAAAAAUGAGCAUAUGUCUAAUUGAAUUAAUAAUAAAUUUCAUACCCACCAUGAAAAAAAAAAUUUUGGACAAACGAAUGAAAAUACAAAAAAGCACUCCCUAAUAGCUUCCAGAUAAUACCACUCCUAGGUCAUUGUUUUAAUAUGUGAAAUAACAGAGUUUUAAUACAUUUGGAGAAAUUUGCAUAAACUGC